ACGCGAAGAACCUUACCUGGGCUCGAACGGCUUCCCACGCCGGUGGAAACAUCGGUAUCCCGCAAGGGAGUGGAGUCGAGGUGCUGCAUGGCUGUCGUCAGCUCGUGUCGUGAGAUGUUGGGUUAAGUCCCGCAACGAGCGCAACCCUUGUCCUGUGUUGCCACCCCGUAAGGGAGCACUCGCAGGAGACCGCCAGCGAUAAGCUGGAGGAAGGUGGGGAUGACGUCAAGUCCUCAUGGCCUUUAUGUCCAGGGCUACACACGUGCUACAAUGGCCGGUACAAAGCGUUCCCAAGCCGCGAGGUGGAGGCAAUCGCAAAAAACCGGUCUCAGUUCGGAUUGCAGGCUGCAACUCGCCUGCAUGAAGCUGGAAUCGCUAGUAAUGGCAGAUCAGCACGCUGCCGUGAAUACGUUCCCGGGUCUUGUACACACCG
RNAcentral lists this ribosomal RNA (433 nucleotides) under uncultured bacterium. Its description in RNAcentral is "bacterial SSU rRNA". It matches the Rfam family "Bacterial small subunit ribosomal RNA", at positions 959 to 1392 of the family's 1533-position model. The record is from RNAcentral.